UCCUCUUGCUACCUGCCUGUGAUCUUGGCACCUCUGCUGCCACUCUGGUGGCCUCCAGCAUCUGCCUCUGUGUUGUGCACAACAGAAACAUAGGGGCAGAGCUGACCCCUUGGAGCUGCCAGUGCAGCAUGAAGCUGCCUGCAGCAACUCAGGUGUGCUUUUCAGUAGCAGAGAAAGGCAGCUAACUCUGAAUGCAUCACUUUGCACGAAAUGAGCGUCUUCCCCAACAAACCGAUGCUCCUCUUCUUCUGAAGGAAGUCCUACUGUCAUCAGUCAGACUUAACACAUCCCAGAGGAUGCUCUGCCUUGUCCCAGUCUGCGAACAGACACCAGCCCUGGCCGUGGGACAGAUGGAGAUGCCUUACCUUCAGCCUUACCUUCCAGUCAUCUCUGAGAGAGCAGCGAGCCCCCUCACAGCAUCAGGUACUAAAUCUGAGUGGUGGAGUAUGACCAUGUGCUUCAGUAAAGUGACUUGUGUGUCCACCUUCAUUCUUGAACACUUGAGAGUUGCUUCAAACCAUGGAACAUUGUUAUUUAUUCCUGAUUUGAAAACCCCACUUUAAUGGUGGCCAUUUUUACCUGCGUAACACUUAGCAAAAGGCCAAAAAAACCCACAAACCAGGGCAUGUUCUGAGCAGCUGAGGCUGCCCUGUGCAGCCGUGCUUCUUUGCGUUGUGAGGAAAUGUAAUAUUGCAGCCACCCAGCCCCUGCCUGCGUGCAGCCCUGGCUUGUGGAAGUGACAUUAGAACCCAAAUCCAGAAUGUGUAACAACAGAUGAGCUGUUCUGUCAGCAGCAGAGAUCUACAAUCCAGAAUAAUGGGAACACUACAAGUGAUAGAUCUAGAAAUGAACAGGUGUACAGUCUUUUUUAUAUUAUUGCAAGUAAAAAGAUCUCCUACAAACAAUGGCAGAAGAGAACUCUGGGUGACGCUGUCUGUUCUGAGGUGAUGGUCUUCAAGAGCCCAAGAAGUCACUGAUCACCCGAGGCUUGCCUAGUCCAUGUUAAAGCCUAUUUUCUACAGGUCCCCAUUGAGCUCAAGAGCCUUCAAAAGAGAUGAACACCUACCUGAGCUUGCACCCAGCUCCCAACUGGCAAUGUGCACAGGCUCCAGCAGCAAUAACACAGCUGCCCUGCACACACCGUUUCAGGGCUUCUCCUCACUACCCCAGAGGACCACAUGAAAUGAUCUCAUUGCAUACAGUCCCUGCAGUCAGGAGUGCAUUUCCACCAAGUGCUGGGAUCCAGGGUCAGUGCAACCAUUUUUUUUUUUGUAAGAGAAAAAACAUCUCUGAGCUGAGCUUAGGGCACCUGGAGCACAUCCAUGUGAUGACUCCAAUCACUGCUAUGCACUCAAGAUAAGUCGUAAAUACUCCACUACGUCUAAGCAAAUGGUCAUAUAUGCUUAACUCCUUAGCUAUUUUGCAAAAAAAAAAAAAA
Molecule: long non-coding RNA, 1438 nt
Organism: Meleagris gallopavo (turkey)
Lineage: Eukaryota; Metazoa; Chordata; Aves; Galliformes; Phasianidae
Source: Ensembl